This 636-nucleotide small RNA is filed under the name Histoplasma ohiense. RNAcentral describes it as "hypothetical lncRNA". The record is from RNAcentral. Lineage: Eukaryota; Fungi; Ascomycota; Eurotiomycetes; Onygenales; Ajellomycetaceae.
AACCGCUCUGAAUUUCCCACCAAUCCCCUUCUCCGCAUGGCCUAUAGGCACCCCUGUGCAAAGCCCAUAUCGUCAAGGCUGGCUGCCCUGACAUCUUUGCAUCCACGAUCCCUUGUGAUUGGAUACAAGGGUUCGUUGGCCAUCAUCAGAAAGGCCUCGGCGGGAUGGCUUGACUACAGCGAACACAGUUGCAGGACUUGAGAUCGUGGCUGCCUGCCUUACUUGCCUGCAGCGUGUUUUAAUUUUCGACGUUCAUUUGUUCCGACUAGACACGAACUACGGAUAUCAAGCCUCGAACCUCUCUGUUUUGUCUGGGAAAUUUUGUGGCUGUUAUAGCGCUGUCGAUAACCUUGGCUAUUCCCCGCCGAGCGUUUGAAACGCCUUGUCAUCCAAGUUUUUAGGGUUCAUUGGUGUGGGGUAGGUAUGGAGAAUGAGGAGAACAAGUGUCAGAAAUGAUAUAUCAUAUCGAGGAUUCUGUUGAUUGUACGGAGUACUAAGCAAAGAUCUUGUUAAUAUCUUGCUACUUGAAACUGAAUCACUACUCCAGUGUAUACCAGCACUGUCUCUAUCAUUAUGUUCAAGCAUUCUUUUUCUUAUAAAUACUGCCUGAUUAUCAUGUAAUUAAUUAUUGGAGUU